Danio rerio (zebrafish) is the source of this 2085-nucleotide non-coding RNA. The record is from RefSeq and is a predicted model, not a curated record. NCBI's taxonomy places the organism in Eukaryota, Metazoa, Chordata, Actinopteri, Cypriniformes, Danionidae.
AUAUCUUUUUUUCCCGCCCACCGAAUUGAUUGACAGCUGCGUGUAUUAACAUAUCCUGAGUUUGUCGUUUCCGCCAUUAUCUGCAUGUUAGUCGAAGCGAUGCCACCGAGAGAACACCCUUGUGCUAUUUUUGGAUGUAAGGCUUCGAGAGCCUUCACCGUCUUCCUGCAAAUGAGCAACAGAGGCUUAAGUGGCUGAGUUUUAUCUUUGAAGACAAGGUGCCUGAAAAUGUACCAAAACUGUUGUAUGUUUGCGCUAACCACUUUAGCGUAGACUGCCUUGAGAACGCGGGAAAAUACAACUCCGGAUUCGCGAGUAAAUUGUUUCUGAAAACUGGAUCAGUUCCUACAAUACGUGAUCCUGCCUCACUUCAAGUAUUACAUUUUCUGUACUUCUAGCCUAAGCAUUCUAAUAAUGUUAAGCCAAAAUGAAUAGCAUCUGUAUAGUAAUAAUAGUAGCUUCGGAUGUUUGUUUGCACGUGUUUACUGCUGUUGUGCUUUUCUAAAACAGUGUGUACAUACUCGAAGCUAAGUGGUAAUGUGUACAAGAAGGGCUUUUAGCCAUCAGAAGCAGAAAUCGUAGAAAAAAUUAAACAUUGUAAUAAAGCAGGAACCAGUACUGGCUACAGCUAAAGUUUUUAUUUUUUUUUUUACAAAGGCCACGACGUCGACACAGAGCAACAAGAUGGAUGUUGCUUGCCAGACGGAACCAUUUAACAAAUCUUUACACAGUGUUGGUACACAGUUGUCGUUUAGGACGCUUCAGGCUAAACGCAGGAGUACAAGUAAGUUAACAUUUCUCAGUUUAUUUUAAGUUGCUGCAUUAGAAACGUGUUUUACUAUCUUUAUAAACAUGAAAUGAGAUUAAUCAUAAAAUUACACUAGAGGUGUCCAGGCAACAGUGUCCAGUUUUGAACUGACUGUAUCAUCAGCGUCCUCUACUGCGUUUAUAACUUCGACACCCGUCAAACCUUCACUAAAAAGACCUCGUCUGGAGCUGGAGGAGGAGGAAGAAGAAGAAGAAGCCGAAGAGACUCUAUCAGAGUCAAAAAUUAUAGACCAAGACUCGGAUGUGAGAUUUGACCCUGCAGAGGAAUGCACAUCUGCAACUGAUCCAACAGACUUGUCAAUCCAAGAAUGGCCAGUUCAUAACAUAGCCAAGUUCAUUGUCUAUGAAACGUGCUUCAUGGAGCUCUUCAGUGACUGCCCAGUGUGUCACAGGAGAUGUGAUGUACAGUCACAAAGGCUUGGGACAUUUCUGAGCGUACAGCAAGUCUGCCCACACUGCGAGUUUGUAAGAAAAUGGAACAGUCAGCCGAUUAUUGGUAGUACUCCAGCUGGCAACCUGCAUCUUUCUGCUGCAGUCUACUUGAGCGGUGCAUCAUUUUUUGUAGUUGAAAAGGUAUUUGCUGCAAUGAAACUACACAUUUUUAAAUAUGAUUCAUUUCGCCGACAUGCAAGACUUUGCAUUGAACCUGCUAUUGUCCACAAUGGAGAAAUUGGCAGAGUGAAAUGCUAGAACAGCUCAGUUGAAGAGAGAAUGUGAUUGUUGGAGGAGAUAUGAGGGCUGACUCCCCAGGUCACUCUGCCAAGUAUGGGAGUUAUACAAUGAUGGACCUUGCAACUAACACAGUGGUCGAGUUAGUCCAGAGUAACGAGGGGGCGGCAGUUACCAUAUGGAAAAAGAAGGCCUAAAGAGAAGCCUUGACCUAUUGGAUGCCUGCGGUGUUCGUCUGGAAUGCAUCAUCACAGACUGACAUCCUCAAAUACAGAAAUAUCUCAGAAUAUCGAGAAAGUAUUUAACAAAAAAACUGGACAAGAUAUGCCAGAUAAAGGGGUGUGAGAAGUUGCUUAAAUGGUUACGUAGCAUCAAAAACCACAUCUACUGGACUGCGGCAUCAUCCACAACAGGUCCUGAAAGAGUGGCAAAGGGGACCUCUAUCUUGAACCAUGUACAAGACAAGCAUGUACAUGAAGACCCCAAUUUUCCGGCUUAUCUGCAUCCGCAACGGAUAAGCAGAGACGAGAACAAAUGGCUGUCGGCUGCAACGAUGCCAUUCUACAAGCUGGAGAAAGUUCUCGCUAA